Molecule: ribosomal RNA, 465 nt
Filed under: Vreelandella stevensii
Lineage: Bacteria; Pseudomonadati; Pseudomonadota; Gammaproteobacteria; Oceanospirillales; Halomonadaceae
Description: partial 16S ribosomal RNA
Rfam family: Bacterial small subunit ribosomal RNA
Source: RNAcentral
CCUACGGGUGGCUGCAGUGGGGAAUAUUGGACAAUGGGGGGAACCCUGAUCCAGCCAUGCCGCGUGUGUGAAGAAGGCCCUCGGGUUGUAAAGCACUUUCAGUGAGGAAGAACGCCUGGUGGUUAAUACCCAUCAGGAAAGACAUCACUCACAGAAGAAGCACCGGCUAACUCCGUGCCAGCAGCCGCGGUAAUACGGAGGGUGCGAGCGUUAAUCGGAAUUACUGGGCGUAAAGCGCGCGUAGGUGGCUUGAUAAGCCGGUUGUGAAAGCCCCGGGCUCAACCUGGGAACGGCACCCGGAACUGUCAAGCUAGAGUGCAGGAGAGGAAGGUAGAAUUCCCGGUGUAGCGGUGAAAUGCGUAGAGAUCGGGAGGAAUACCAGUGGCGAAGGCGGCCUUCUGGACUGACACUGACACUGAGGUGCGAAAGCGUGGGUAGCAAACAGGAUUAGAUACCCGAGUAGUC